This is a non-coding RNA of Oryza sativa Japonica Group (Japanese rice), 920 nucleotides long. The record is from RefSeq and is a predicted model, not a curated record. Lineage: Eukaryota; Viridiplantae; Streptophyta; Magnoliopsida; Poales; Poaceae.
UUAUAAGAUAAACUAUAAAUUUACCUUAUAUUUCACAUAUUUAUACUAAAAUUAUGAAUAUAAGACUCUACCUCGCACAGGCUAGCUACUGCUCGUCUAGACAGAAUCUUUUUGAGGCAAAAUCCUCUAGGCAGGAAUCAACAAUUCAAAACAAUAAAUCCUGAUCUCGCCUCGCUCCAAAACUGUAAAUAUCCUGAUCAUCUCCUUCCUCUCUGUUGGUAAGAAAUCCGCUGUUAGGAUCGGAGCAGAACAUUGCAUCGAUCGGUGGUUCGACGAGAUAUGAUGCCAUUCUUCCCUGAGAAUGGGAUGCAUGGGGAAUCAGGGAUGAACAACACCAAUACAGAUUUGCUCCGGUUCACAUGGUAGCUGAUCACAGCCCGGUGCGGCCGUGCUCUACUAUGCUCCAUGUCGUUCUCUCUCUUUCACAUCACCCGCGAGCUGACACGAUGUGAGUGAUCCGCACGGCCGGCGCCGGUGCCGCUCGCCGGAGCAAACCUGAGCCGCAGAUCAAGGAAGAGGAUCGAAGAAAGUUGCAAGAGGGAACGCUGCAGGUGGUUGCUGAAGUUUUCAGCUCAAGAUUUGCCUGGAGACGAAUGCAAGUCAAGAGGAUAGGGGUUGGUUAGAUGUCAGCACUCUACUUGCAAUGUCUACUGGAUGUGAUGGUUUUUGGUUUAGAUCAAACAAAAUGACAGUUUUGUUUUACUUAAUUUGGAUGUUGUCGGUUGUUAUUUAUUAAACAGUCUGUUCAUUCCCUCAAAAAAUGGGAGAGCUUUGCUCCCUUUCUCCAAAGAAAAAUGGAUUUGCGAAGCAGAGAAGGCCACAUUGAUCGAGAAACUUCACCACACUGUAAAACAUUGGGAUGUGCUUUGGUCCUCAACUUUAGAUGAAAACUGUCGAAACUGGGAAAGCAUUUUUUACAA